GACGAACGCUGGCGGCGUGCCUAAUACAUGCAAGUAGAACGCUGAAGGAGGAGCUUGCUUCUCUGGAUGAGUUGCGAACGGGUGAGUAACGCGUAGGUAACCUGCCUGGUAGCGGGGGAUAACUAUUGGAAACGAUAGCUAAUACCGCAUAAUAGCAGUUGUUGUAUGACAACUGUUUGAAAGGUGCAAUUGCACCACUACCAGAUGGACCUGCGUUGUAUUAGCUAGUUGGUGGGGUAACGGCUUACCAAGGCGACGAUACAUAGCCGACCUGCGGGGGUGAUCGGCCACACUGGGACUGAGACACGGCCCAGACUCCUACGGGAGGCAGCAGUAGGGAAUCUUCGGAAAUGGACGGAAGUCUGACCGAGCAACGCCGCGUGAGUGAAGAAGGUUUUCGGAUCGUAAAGCUCGGUUGUAAGGGAAGAACGAGUGUGAGAGUGGAAAGUUCACACUGUGACGGUAUCUGACCAGAAAGGGACGGCUAACUACGUG
RNAcentral lists this ribosomal RNA (495 nucleotides) under uncultured bacterium. Its description in RNAcentral is "partial 16S ribosomal RNA". It matches the Rfam family "Bacterial small subunit ribosomal RNA", at positions 28 to 507 of the family's 1533-position model. The record is from RNAcentral.